This 315-nucleotide ribosomal RNA is filed under the name Metabacillus malikii. RNAcentral's name for it is "bacterial SSU rRNA". It matches the Rfam family "Bacterial small subunit ribosomal RNA", at positions 1 to 305 of the family's 1533-position model. The record is from RNAcentral. Lineage: Bacteria; Bacillati; Bacillota; Bacilli; Caryophanales; Bacillaceae.
UUAUUGGAGAGUUUGAUCCUGGCUCAGGACGAACGCUGGCGGCGUGCCUAAUACAUGCAAGUCGAGCGAAUCUGAGGGAGCUUGCUCCCGAAGAUUAGCGGCGGACGGGUGAGUAACACGUGGGUAACCUGCCUGUAAGAUUGGGAUAACUCCGGGAAACCGGAGCUAAUACCGGAUAACAUUUUGAACCGCAUGGUUCGAAAUUGAAAGAUGGCGUCUGGCUAUCACUUACAGAUGGACCCGCGGCGCAUUAGCUAGUUGGUGAGGUAACGGCUCACCAAGGCGACGAUGCGUAGCCGACCUGAGAGGGUGAUC